CGGGGUAUGCUCGCCAGCGGCAAGAAGACACGGUGUCGGUAUUUCAUACCGCCGACUAGUAAUUGUACGCUGCACUCUCCUCACUUCCGAUGGUUAGCACAUAAGAGACUAGGAGUUAUACUGGUUUGGGAAGAUCCUUACGUCCAAAUUCGGUAGGAGUCAUGUUCCUUGGAUCAAGUGCACUGGGCUUACAACAAGGUGCUUGCAAGCAAGCAUUCGUGCGAUGUGUGGGUGUAUG
This 238-nucleotide long non-coding RNA is filed under the name Setaria italica (foxtail millet). Its description in RNAcentral is "long non-coding RNA (SITA_LNC001515)". The record is from RNAcentral. Lineage: Eukaryota; Viridiplantae; Streptophyta; Magnoliopsida; Poales; Poaceae.